RNAcentral lists this long non-coding RNA (4091 nucleotides) under Sus scrofa (pig). Its description in RNAcentral is "lncRNA (ENSSSCG00015017444.1)". The record is from RNAcentral. Lineage: Eukaryota; Metazoa; Chordata; Mammalia; Artiodactyla; Suidae.
UUUCUUUUGGCCACAUCUGUGGCAUAUGGAAGUUCCCAGGCUAGGGAGUCAUAUCGGAGCUGUAGCCACUGGCCAAUGCCACUGCCACAGCAACUGGGAAUCCGAGCUGUGUGUGGGACCUAUAUCACAGCUCACGGCAAUGCUGGAUCCUUAACUCUCUGAGUGAGGCCAAGGAUGGAAGCUGUGUUAUGCUAGUCAGAUUUGUUUCUGCUGAUCCAUGAUGGGAACUCCAUUCAGUUGCUUUUAUAUCUAUUUGACAGUUUAAACUUUAAUCUAAUCUGGUUAUAAUUCUAUCAUAGUAUCUUAUGUAAGUAAUUUUCUGACAAUUAGUUAAUGAAUUUAAUUAAAACCAAAUGUAGGCAAAAACUCAGUGACAAAACUAUUGGGACACUUGGUUUUCUUGAUUCAUUUUUUAGUUUUAAAACUAUUACGAAUUAAAAAAUAAAUUACAAUUUUAAAGGUACUAUUCAAUUUGUAUAAAUUAAAAAUUAAACUUAGCAACUGGAAUGUUUUACUUAAUGGUCCACAUUCCAUUUCACUUUUGUAAUGUUUUUACACAAGUAUAGACUCCAAGUCGUCACAGAGAAUGACAGAAUUAAAGAAACUCAGGUUCUGCUUCUUUUACAAUAGAUGGGCCGUCAUCAUUUAUUUUGAAUCUACUGUUUAAAUGAAAGACUGAAAGAUACCUUCAGCAUCCAAAGAGAGCUCAACUGAUUUCUGAACCAUUAUAAAGUUAUUUUAAAAUGAAAGCUUAUGCUGAGUCCAUACAUGUUAAAAGCUGACUGUACAACUGGGAAUUCUCCAAAUGAACCUCCCUGUAAAAAUACAAUAUUUAUUAAAGGAUAGGUAAUAAAAAUGUGCUAAUUGGAAGCUUAGAAACAUUAUUACCAAAACCUUACCGUAGCCAGAGAAUCUACUCAGAAUUCAGAUCAAUGACAGAUUGGAGGGAGGAGGAUUUUUGUCACAGACCUUGUUAAGAGCGAUAAUAAUGAAAAUCAGAUGUUUUAAAAUUUGCCGAGACUAUAUACACCCCUUUACUGCCUGCCCCUGAGGAAGACCUCACCCACCACUUGGUCCAUCCCUAGGUGGCAAUGAAUGUGAAAAAAAAGGAUACAUUCACAGCAGUAGGUGGAAAGGAAAGCACCCCUAGGCCCUGCUCUUAGAGAGUUUAUGCUGUAAGAUGGGGAGGGGAGGCACAUAACUCUGACUGUGAUGACCUGCUGCCUUUCCAACAGAGAGGGAUCUGGUGGAGAGGGAUCUGGUGAGAGUGAAGAGCGCAGAAUGUACUUUGACAAAGACUCUUUGGCCAAACUCUAGCCUGGCUCCUCUGAGCACUAUUCUGGAUCAGACCCAACCUUGGCCUGUAACAACUUGAACAAAACAUUAACAUGGUUUUUUAUAGCUCAGUGACCCGGGUCCCCCCUUAAAGUGCCUGCCUGAAGAGUUCCUGUUGUAGCUUAGUGGGUUAAGAACCAGGCUAUAUCCAUGACUACGCAGGUUUGAACCCUGGCCUUGUUCAGUGGGUCAGGGAUCCAGCAUUGCCCUGAGCUAUGGUGUAGGUUGCACAUGAGGCUCGGAUGCCAUGUUGCUGUGUCUGUGGUGUAGGUUGGAAACUGCAGCUCUAAUUGGACCCCUAGCCUGGGAACUUCCAUAUAGUGUAGGUUUGGGCCUAAAAAAGCAAAAUAAAUAAAUAAAUAAUUAAUUAAAAAAUAAAGAGCCUACCUGAGAGAACUCAUAGCGCCCUAAGACUGUUUUUUCCAACCAACACCUGAAAACAAGGCCUUUGUCUCCUGCCCUCUCUGGGCAGGUAGGAGCUAACUUCUAUAAGCCAGUUAAUAAACCCACUUGUGUUUCACAUGCACCAACCUCCUUUUCUUGUUUUUUACAGUUCUUCUCUUCCUUGCUCUGUUGAAUCCCUGCUCACUCCUCUCUUUAUUUCCUCAUUCUUCCUCGAAAAUAUCCAGUCACCACUAUGCAAAUCAAAGUUGAGGACAGUCUGCUCUCGGACUCUUUUCCCUAUCACAGUGACAUAUUACCAAAUAAGCUCCGUCCUUACCGUCAUAGCUAGUGUACGGUUUUGUUUAUCUUUGACAAGACUUACAAAUCAUUCAGAAUACAUUUUUGAACAAAAGUAGCCACAUGAAGCAGAGGCUCCACUGGGAUAAGAUCCGCAGGAAAAUUCUACCACAGAUAGUCCUUCAGAUGAAAUAUAUUUGACCGCUGAAUGUAGUUAGAAAUAGAAGUUGGAUCAGGCAGGAGACUGGUGAAAAUUGAAACCUUUUGUCCACUGGCAGGAACAAGCAAUAGAGAUGAAGAUUUUUAACCAAGGUCUUUGGAGUUGUCAGAACCAUCUGGAAAGGGAAACUUGCAGAAUGCACUAGGUUAAAGAUAAUUGCUAAAGCAUAGAUGUGCGAAUAAUUUGGAAAUUUUCAAAUAGCAAGAGUUACUAGAUCAAACAAAAGCUUCCUGUUUUCCCACAAGUUGUAUGUGAUGGGAUCAAAGGGCUAAGGCACUAAUGGGAAUUUUUAAAAAGUCAAACAGUAUAACACUGUUAUAUGCUAUUGUGUCAAGUUACAGCUCCACUACAUCAAUAAAUGUGGCUAUUUGACAGCAAGUCAUAUAUACACGAAGAGGCAUAGAUUUUCUGCUUAUUAAAUUCUGAUGUUAUAUCUGCUAAUCAGUCAUUCACUUAUUCUGCAAAAUAUAUGAUGCUGAUAGAAUGCCAGACUCUGAAGUUUGAAGGGGUCCCUGUCCUCUGACAGCUUAUGGACCAGUUUUAAUGGAGGAGGAAGUGAUCCAUUAGUCUUACUCAUCUGAUUUUGUGUACAUUCCUUGCCUUUCUGGGCUCCAAUCUGUGUCUGAGGAAAUCCCAACUUUUAGGCUGCAUUUCCAGGCUAAGCUUGAAUUUGGCUGCUUUGGGCCAAAGAGGGGCACUGAAAAGAGAAUGGCAGGUGAAGAAUUGGAGAACUCAAGGUAUCUAUCUCUUUGUCCUACUUAGGUAGCCUCUUUGGAAAUAGCUGCCUCUCCUCCACAGCUCCAAAUUCUGCUUGAGCAGUCCAGCUUCUGGUUUCUGGUAUGCCAGCUCAUAAGGACUGCAUCUGUGCAUCUCUUCCCUACUCUGUAUUUAAUGUUGAGUUGGUAACUUGAAACCAGCCAUGGUGGGAUAUUUACAUCAUAGAAAUUGACAAACAAGUUUUGAUAUUCCUCAGAGAGCAGGAUAUUAACCACUAACCAGUAUACCCCUGGUUCUAGUGAUGACAUAUCUUUGAGUUGUUCCUCAAUCUCUAGAGGUGGUAGUUAGCUUCCUGUCAUUCUUUCAGCUGCCUCAACUUCUCAAUUCUUGCUCUGUGUAGUUUAUUCCUUGUAUUAAAUCCCCUAUGCUGUAAUACCUGCUGGAAUUUCUCUCUUCCUAAUGGGAUACUGAUUGAUACAGCAGGGCAGCCAACCUGGACUUGGGUUCUCAGGGUAAGAUUCUCAGGAGAAAUGUAAUAUUCCUAUUUUUAAAAAACACAAUGAACAGAACUUGGCAAUAGAAUGAGAGGAUAAAGAAAUGACAUGAUUCAGCAUCCUGCCCAGAUUUUUGGUUUAGGAAUGUAGGUGGAUUAUGGUGCCAUUUGUUAAGAAAGGAAGCUGAGACAGAAACACAAGUUUGGGGUGGGGUGGAAAUGCUGAGUUUGAGAUACUGGUGGGAUACCCAAAGAUAGAUGUCCAGUGGGAUUCGACAGAAUCAGAACACAGACAAGAUAUCUUCUUUGGAAACACUCCUCCUUUUUCUUUUUCUUUCUUUUUUGGUCUUUUUAGGCCAUACCUAUGGCAUAUGAAAGUUCCCAGGCUGGGGGAUAAAUAAGAGCUGUGGCUGCCAGCUACACCAUAGCCAUAGCAAUGCAGGCUGAGCUGCAUCUGCGACUUACACUACAGCUCAUGGUGAUGUGGGACCUUAACACACUGAAUGGGGCCAGGCAUUUAACUGCAUCUUCAUGAAUACUAGCUGGGUUCAUUACUGCUGAACCACAAUGGGAACUCCAACCCCCCUCAUUUUUCUGAUCCCUCAGUUGCCUUGUUCAGUAGAUAAUUGCAUCUCUCAUCUGUAC